UGGGGGAAUUUUGGACAAUGGGGGAAACCCUGAUCCAGCCAUCCCGCGUGUGCGAUGAAAGGCCUUCGGGUUGUAAAGCACUUUUGUCAGGGAAGAAAAGGUUUCGGAUAAUACCCGGAACUGAUGACGGUACCUGAAGAAUAAGCACCGGCUAACUACGUGCCAGCAGCCGCGGUAAUACGUAGGGUGCAAGCGUUAAUCGGAAUUACUGGGCGUAAAGCGUGCGCAGGCGGUUCGGAAAGAAAGAUGUGAAAUCCCAGGGCUCAACCUUGGAACUGCAUUUUUAACUACCGAACUAGAGUAUGUCAGAGGGGGGUGGAAUUCCACGUGUAGCAGUGAAAUGCGUAGAUAUGUGGAGGAACACCGAUGGCGAAGGCAGCCCCCUGGGAUAAUACUGACGCUCAUGCACGAAAGCGUGGGGAGCAAACAGGAUUAGAUACCCUGGUAGUCCACGCCCUAAACGAUGUCAACUAGCUGUUGGGCCCUUCGGGGCUUAGUAGCGCAGCUAACGCGUGAAGUUGACCGCCUGGGGAGUACGGUCGCAAGAUUA
RNAcentral lists this ribosomal RNA (550 nucleotides) under uncultured bacterium. RNAcentral's name for it is "bacterial SSU rRNA". It matches the Rfam family "Bacterial small subunit ribosomal RNA", at positions 354 to 896 of the family's 1533-position model. The record is from RNAcentral.